Molecule: unclassified non-coding RNA, 379 nt
Filed under: Hevea brasiliensis (rubber tree)
Lineage: Eukaryota; Viridiplantae; Streptophyta; Magnoliopsida; Malpighiales; Euphorbiaceae
Source: RNAcentral
AAUCCAAUUGUUCAACAGUUUGCAUCAGGAAGCCUGGAUGGGCCAAUCAGAUAUUAAGACAUGAACCAUGGAGGUUUUGCAUGAUGGAAUUUGGAGAUCAGAAUUCUUAGAAGCAUGUGCGUGCAGAUUUUGCUCCUGUCCCCCUGAUUCACACUUUUGAAUGUGUCUUGUAGCCGACCAAAACUCUUGGCCUCAAAAGAGAUUAAACUGGUUCACUGAGGAGUCAUCUUGAUUUGCCAUCGCCAUUUGCCAGCUUGUACAGUAUAUGCUCUUUAGGAUGCUGGCGGAUGUGAAUUUUACGUUUGGGAAAACAUAUGAGAGAGAGAAAUUUAUCCAUUAAUAUUCUUUUUAGUUCCUAAUAUUGUGAACUAAAUUAGAA